This is a long non-coding RNA of Dreissena polymorpha, 883 nucleotides long. RefSeq lists it as uncharacterized. NCBI's taxonomy places the organism in Eukaryota, Metazoa, Mollusca, Bivalvia, Myida, Dreissenidae. The transcript is spliced from 2 exons. The record is from RefSeq and is a predicted model, not a curated record.
AGACCCAGUGUAGGAAUACACAGGCAAACCUAGGCGGAUAAAUAACCGCCGUACCAAGGAAGAGAAACAUGAAUCAUCAUUAAAUGUUACUGGGCGUAUUAUGUAAAAUGAAGAGUUGUACACAUAUUUGUGUUGAAUUGCUGAAUAACACUUAUGAGGCAUCUGGAGAGAAAGUUUUAGCUGUGAUAUUUAUUUUGAAGGGUAUCUUCAAACACCUCAUUCUGUUUAUGCUUGUGUGUCUGAAACGCAAUUAUAUUUUAACAUUUUGAUUUUUAAACUGUUAUGAGGUAACUGUGUAGAAAAAUGCAUCUGUAUUUGGUGAUGAUGAUCACAGCCCUUUUUGCUGGUCACAAUGCCUACUUCUUUUAUGACGUUAUCGGUUGUCAUGUCUACGAAACCUCAGGCAUGUGCGGAUUUUGUACGGGCGGAUGCUGGCCUUACUGGAGUUACGAAAACCAAACAUGUGGAUCCUGUCAUCACUGCGAACACUGUCCGGACGGCCGUAGGUAUGUCGAUGCACCCCCGAAUGUCCCCUAGGGAAGUUUGGCGAUGACUGCCGCAAAGAUUGUCCCUACAAAUGCCGGGCGUGCCAUCGUCAGACUGGGGAAUGUAAACUGUGGUGCAGUAAUCUGUGCCUCGACACGUGUCAGCUGUCGACUGGGAUAUGUCGCUACAACAUGACCAUGUUAACCAUGCAACCAUGCAAGAAUCAACCUGACGGUCAUAUACACGACUGUCGAGAAUAUUCGGAUAGAUAUAUUGGUUAAUAUUUCAAAUUAUUCUUAUAAAGCUGUUACCGUACGUGUAUUUUGACCGUAAAUAACUUUCUACAUGCAUGGUAUGAAAGAAUAAAUAGCAAAUAAAUAAAGCAACAACAACAACA